AAAACAAAAAAGCCCUGAAUAAAUUAACGCUGAUAAACGAUUUAUUAUUUGAAGUAUUUAAAUCAGAAGGGCGCCUUAAUUUUGAGAAAAACUUGAGGAAAAGCGUGGAGCUCAGCCAUAACAGAUUUCGGCAAAGGAAGGUGCUGCAAGGAAGCAAGGCCAAUAUUUAAUUAAUUUAAAAGUAAAGACUUUCCAGCGGUGCCGCAAAUAUGUUAUGCAUUCUAUUUCUAAAACUUAUUCUUAAGUAUCCCAGUCUUUAUGUAAAUAUAGAAUGUAUGUAUGUAGAUAUAAGUGCAUAUACAUAUUAUGUAUAGCAUCCCAACAAGCAUUUCUGUAUUUUUAAAAGUAUCUUAAAGCAAGCUUGCUAUAUUAACAGCGUUUUUAGUAUUAAGUUUAUUUUAAGUUUUUCAAAUGAAGCUAUUAUAAGUGUU
Rhagoletis pomonella (apple maggot) is the source of this 431-nucleotide long non-coding RNA. RefSeq lists it as uncharacterized. The transcript is spliced from 3 exons. The record is from RefSeq and is a predicted model, not a curated record. NCBI's taxonomy places the organism in Eukaryota, Metazoa, Arthropoda, Insecta, Diptera, Tephritidae.